This 1005-nucleotide ribosomal RNA is filed under the name Triticum aestivum (bread wheat). Its description in RNAcentral is "partial small subunit ribosomal RNA". The record is from RNAcentral. Lineage: Eukaryota; Viridiplantae; Streptophyta; Magnoliopsida; Poales; Poaceae.
AUGGAGGGGGAGGACGGCGGCGGCGGCGUGGACUGGGACAGCCUGGCCGAGGCGGCGUCGGGGGCCGUCGGCGCGCUCGUCAGCACCACCGUGCUCUACCCGCUCGACACCUGCAAGACCAAGUUCCAGGCCGACGUCCAGACGGACCAGGGCGCGCACAAGUACAGGAACCUUUCAGAUGUCUUUUGGGAAGCAAUUAAGAAAAAGCAAUUUUUGUCCCUAUAUCAGGGCCUUAAGACGAAGAAUAUCCAGUCGUUCAUUUCGCAAUUCGUUUACUUUUACGGCUAUAGCUAUUUCAAAAGACUCUACCUGGAGAAGAGUGGAGCCAAGUCUAUUGGAACAAAAGCCAACUUGUUGAUUGCAGCUGCCGCUGGUGCUUGCACAGUUGUUGUGACACAGCCAUUAGAUACGGCAUCUUCUAGAAUGCAAACAAGUGCUUUCGGAAAGUCCAAAGGGCUGCGAGCAACUCUCGCAGAAGGUACUUGGCUUGAGGCAUUCGAUGGUUUGGGCAUUUCCCUUAUGUUAACAUGCAAUCCUUCAAUUCAGUACACCGUGUUUGACCAGCUUAAGCAGAAGCUAAUUCUGAGGCAGACGCGUAGAAAUGCAGAAUCAGCAGGCGAUUCUUCCCCAGUUGCUCUUUCUGCUUUCUCGGCAUUUCUCCUUGGUGCCAUCUCAAAAAGUGUUGCAACAAUCUUGACUUACCCAUUAAUCAGGUGCAAGGUCAUGAUUCAGGCUGCAGACCCCGAUGAGGACGACGAGGACGAAUCUGAAAAGCCAGGCAAUUCAAGGCCUCCCAAAACAAUGUUGGGCGCCAUGCAUGCGAUGUGGAACAAGGAAGGCAUCCCAGGCUUCUUCAAAGGAUUACAUGCUCAGAUACUAAAGACAGUUCUGAGUUCCGCAUUACUGCUGAUGAUAAAAGAGAAGAUUUCAAAGUUCACUUGGAUCUCGCUGCUUGCCCUGCGGCGAUACCUCUUUGUUUCUCGGAAGAGAAUCAAGAGUGCAUAA